CGCCAGACUCCUACGGGAGGCAGCAGUGGGGAAUAUUGCACAAUGGGGGAAACCCUGAUGCAGCGACGCCGCGUGAGCGAUGAAGUAUUUCGGUAUGUAAAGCUCUAUCAGCAGGGAAGAAAAUGACGGUACCUGACUAAGAAGCCCCGGCUAACUACGUGCCAGCAGCCGCGGUAAUACGUAGGGGGCAAGCGUUAUCCGGAUUUACUGGGUGUAAAGGGAGCGUAGACGGCUGUGCAAGCCAGAUGUGAAAGCCCGGGGCUCAACCACGGGACUGCAUUUGGAACUGUGUGGCUGGAGUGUCGGAGAGGCAGGCGGAAUUCCUAGUGUAGCGGUGAAAUGCGUAGAUAUUAGGAGGAACGCCAGUGGCGAAGGCGGCCUGCUGGACGAUGACUGACGUUGAGGCUCGAAAGCGUGGGGAGCAAACAGGAUUAGAUACCCGCGUAA
Molecule: ribosomal RNA, 447 nt
Filed under: uncultured bacterium
Lineage: Bacteria
Description: bacterial SSU rRNA
Rfam family: Bacterial small subunit ribosomal RNA
Source: RNAcentral